RNAcentral lists this long non-coding RNA (578 nucleotides) under Oncorhynchus mykiss (rainbow trout). RNAcentral describes it as "lncRNA (ENSOMYG00000036121.2)". Lineage: Eukaryota; Metazoa; Chordata; Actinopteri; Salmoniformes; Salmonidae. The record is from RNAcentral.
AUGAGUGUUUUAGAUCACUGGGGGGGAGGGGAUUAUUCAUGGCCCAGUGCACUACCUUUGUUGGAAAAUAUUUUUGAAAAAUUAUAUAUUAUAUAUAUUUGUAUUAUUAAUUUAUAUAUUUGUUUUUAUUGUAAUUUUUUCAGGUGGUGCUGCAACACCCUUCACACCCAUACUUCCUGCGGCGAUGCACACAACCUGCCGUCUCUACUAUUGGUCAAUGAGGAUGGAGGGCUGCUCACUCCACCUCUAACACGUCUGAACAGACACUGCUGCACAGAGGAUAAGAAAGGGUAUCGCCAUCCAUCUCACAGAGGCCACAAAUCUGCUCCUCCACUCCUCACGACUGAAAAGGUACGCCAUUAUUUGGAGUGCUGCUUGGUUUUACCACAGUCAGAGACGCAGCCAAGGGAGAAAACAGGCCCAGAUCUGGGUUUAUGCCAUUCGAAGUCCGCUGUGAUAGGGUUUACUCCAUGCUUAAAGAACCGUACCCUGAUGUUAAGUCAAGAUAUAGAGCUUCAGUUUAUGUGCAAGUAUAGAGCAUUAGCGUAUCCCCUAUCGUUACAAAACCACAUGAAAAA